Molecule: long non-coding RNA, 1222 nt
Filed under: Triticum aestivum (bread wheat)
Lineage: Eukaryota; Viridiplantae; Streptophyta; Magnoliopsida; Poales; Poaceae
Description: long non-coding RNA (TAES_LNC021455)
Source: RNAcentral
CUCGAUCAUGUUCAUGCUGGGCGACAUCAUCUGCGGCAUGACUCUCUACCUGGUAGGUGAGGACUGAGGAGUAGGGCAAGCAGCGAAUAUGGCGAAUCCUAUCUGUUUGCGCGCGCAACGCGAAUCCUCCCUGUCGAUGAAUCAUGUGGAUCAGCGCGCCCAGGCCCACCGGUCCCAAACAAAACGAUUCCCUAGUUCUUUUUUCGCACGGUUAUACGACCGGAUACAGUCACAUCGUAUCUGUCCAGGCGACCAGGCCCCUACACCAUUGAGCUGCGCGCCUACACCAUCACUCGGUUGCCCCAUCCACCCCAGCGAUUUAUAACUUGCCAAAUUUCGAUUCCCAGACUCCAGAUCUAGCCUCAUGUGAGUUCUUUCCCCAAUUUUCUCUGUUGGAUUUUUUCUAGUUGUUACUUAGGCUGCAUGCGUAUCAUUGUUCCACUCAUCUGUGUGUUUGAGAUCUGCUAAUUUAUGUGCAUCUUUGUUUCCUCCCGCAAGAUUGUUUAACAUGUGAACUCCAUGUGCAGGGUUUGUUCUGCUGCUCCUGAAAUCGAUGGCGGCCCGCCUCUCCGACGUCCUCCUCCACGGCGAGCCGCCCAAGCACCGUGAUGCAUUUUCUUCCCCCAUCAGCGCUUCACCAAGUAGCAGCACAUGGAGUUGGAGGCAAGAAGAGGAGGAGCAAGAAGGGGAGGACGCGGGCGACUAGUUCCUCCCCUGAGCUCGAAGGCCGAGGGCCCAGAUCCGCGGUUGUUCUUCCCAAAUCUUGAUGCCAUUUGCUUUCCUGCGAUUCUUCAUGUGUCGCUGUUAGUUUUUGUUGGGUUGCUAAGAAGAAUCAGGAGGAGCCGUCCUCUGCUCCUUCUCAAAAUUUCCCUCCCAGAUCUGUAUUCUUGGGCAUCGGUUUUUUAUCUUUUGCUUGACCAUCAAUCGCACGUACUUAUUACUUAAGAUUUUUUGUGCUGCUGUGUUGGAUUUGGGGGUGAGGCUUUUUUUUCUGGUGCGGUCAGCACUGAUGGUGUAUGAAUUACGAUGUGGUAUGUGUGCUGCCUUGCUAAUCUCCUCAAAUUCUGGAUCUCAUGUCUCUACAACAUUUUAGAAAAAUGCAUUUAAUUUUAUGACCAGCCUGACAUGGAUUGAGUGUACUCGUAUCAUGCAUAUACCAUAUGUGAUGUAGUGUUUAGUGAUGACAAUAUCACAAUAAGUGUGAGACAGAACCAAAGGUCGG